Long non-coding RNA from Teleopsis dalmanni, 371 nucleotides. RefSeq lists it as uncharacterized. NCBI's taxonomy places the organism in Eukaryota, Metazoa, Arthropoda, Insecta, Diptera, Diopsidae. The transcript has 3 exons. The record is from RefSeq and is a predicted model, not a curated record.
AGUCUACAGUUCUGUUGCUGUUUCCAGUUUAUUUACUGGAAUAUUUAUUUAUUAUUUUAAUAAUAAUUGUUAUUAUUUAAUUAUUUGUUUAUAUUUUAAUUUAAGUUGUUAGUUAUUAUUUCUCAAUUUCUCAAAAUCAGGACGCGAUACUCAAGGAGUUGAAAUUAGUAAAAGAAAGUAACAUUGACGUUAUAGCAAAAUUCCACACACUCAUGAACAUGAUGGAAAAGAGAAGCGAUACAGCAGUUUCUGAUAACUGCUUUCCCAUCAAGACGUUUGAAGAAUUGGGGAAUAUGGACGCACUUUGUGCAACUAAAAGUGCUCAAUAUGCUAAAUUAAUAAAAUCCAUUAUUCAACCGGAGGGAAUAAAA